RNAcentral lists this ribosomal RNA (468 nucleotides) under uncultured bacterium. RNAcentral describes it as "partial 16S ribosomal RNA". It matches the Rfam family "Bacterial small subunit ribosomal RNA", at positions 28 to 507 of the family's 1533-position model. The record is from RNAcentral.
GACGAACGCUGGCGGCGUGCUUAACACAUGCAAGUCGAACGGAAAGGCCCUGCUUUUGUGGGGUGCUCGAGUGGCGAACGGGUGAGUAACACGUGAGUAACCUGCCCUUGACUUUGGGAUAACUUCAGGAAACUGGGGCUAAUACCGGAUAGGAGCUCCUGCUGCAUGGUGGGGGUUGGAAAGUUUCGGCGGUUGGGGAUGGACUCGCGGCUGAUCAGCUUGUUGGUGGGGUAGUGGUUUACCAAGGCUGUGACGGGUAGCCGGCCUGAGAGGGUGAACGGCCACAUUGGGACUGCGAUACGGACCAGACGCCUACGGGAGGCAGCAGUGGGGAAUAUUGCACAGUGGGCGGGAGCCUGAUGCAGCAACGCCGCGUGCGGGAUGACGGCCUUCGGGUUGUAAACCGCUUUCGCCUGUGACGAAGCGUGAGUGACGGUAAUGGGUAAAGAAGCACCGGCUAACUACGUG